Molecule: ribosomal RNA, 180 nt
Filed under: uncultured bacterium
Lineage: Bacteria
Description: partial 16S ribosomal RNA
Rfam family: Bacterial small subunit ribosomal RNA
Source: RNAcentral
CGUGAAGUUGGAAUCGCUAGUAAUCGCGGAUCAGCAUGCCGCGGUGAAUACGUUCCCGGGCCUUGUACACACCGCCCGUCACACCAUGAGAGUCGGGAACACCGAAGUCCGUAGUCUAACCGCAAGGGGACGCGGCCGAAGGUGGGUUCGAUAAUUGGGGUGAAGUCGUAACAAGGUAAC